GGAUCAGCAGAGGAGACAAUGAUGCAGAAGAAAUGAAAAGAAGAGAAGAACUGAAGGUUGAUAUGUAGUUUUGGAGUGGACAGUGAAGCAGAGGGUGAAAUCUGUGGAAGACAAAUGUUAGUGGAGACUGAAGAGUGUUUGUUUCUCAACAACCGACAUGGAAGGAUUCUCAGACAAUGAGGAAGAUUGAAGUAUGCAAAAUUGGCACAAAACAAGCUAUUUCAUAUGACAAUGCCAUUGCCUGUAAUGAGUAAUGGAAAGCUGUAGACAGGCAGGAAACUUAACCCUUUGUCUUGGGCGUAGGGUGCAUUUUUGGUCACCUCA
Non-coding RNA from Cucurbita pepo subsp. pepo (vegetable marrow), 324 nucleotides. The record is from RefSeq and is a predicted model, not a curated record. Lineage: Eukaryota; Viridiplantae; Streptophyta; Magnoliopsida; Cucurbitales; Cucurbitaceae.